This 440-nucleotide ribosomal RNA is filed under the name uncultured bacterium. RNAcentral describes it as "partial 16S ribosomal RNA". It matches the Rfam family "Bacterial small subunit ribosomal RNA", at positions 338 to 795 of the family's 1533-position model. The record is from RNAcentral.
CCUACGGGAGGCAGCAGUAGGGAAUAUUGCUCAAUGGGGGAAACCCUGAAGCAGCAACGCCGCGUGAGGGAUGAAGGUUUUCGGAUUGUAAACCCCUAUUGUUAGAGAAGAAAAUGACGGUAUCUAACGAAUAAGCACCGGCUAACUACGUGCCAGCAGCCGCGGUAAUACGGAGGGUGCAAGCGUUACUCGGAAUCACUGGGCGUAAAGAGCGCGUAGGCGGGAUAGCAAGUCUGAUGUGAAAUCCUAUGGCUUAACCAUGGAACUGCAUUUGAAACUGUUAUUCUAGAGUGUGGGAGAGGUAGGUGGAAUUCUUGGUGGAGCGGUAAAAUCCGUAGAGAUAAAGAGGAAUACUCAUGGCGAAGGCGACCUGCUGGAACAUAACUGACGCUGAUGCGCGAAAGCGUGGGGAGCAAACAGGAUUAGAUACCCGAGUAGUC